This 573-nucleotide long non-coding RNA is filed under the name Trifolium pratense (red clover). RNAcentral's name for it is "long non-coding RNA (TPRA_LNC007663)". Lineage: Eukaryota; Viridiplantae; Streptophyta; Magnoliopsida; Fabales; Fabaceae. The record is from RNAcentral.
UGAUCAUCCCAAUUACACAAAAUUAGAAAAAGAAAACAAAUCAUACACCAAACAAUCCACAUAAUCAAUAAGAACAGAGUAUUAGUAUCUAUGAAACAAACUAGACCCACCACCCAAGAUAAAAUUUUCAUCACAAGACACAACAAACAGCAUAACCAGGAUUAGGAAUACCCAAAUGAUGAAUAACAAAACCAUUAAACAAUACAAGAAAAGGGUAAGAAUUGAAGAAAAAAAAAUCACAGUGUAAACCCUAACCUUAACCUUUGCAGUGAAAAAGGGUUGUUACAGUUGAUUAUUAUUAUGAGAAAUAAAGAAAAGGAAAAACGUAAGGUUUUUACUCAAGGAAGAAAUGAGAAUUGGGUAUGACGAAAAGGAAUGAUUACUUACUUACUCGUUAGUUAGUUUGUUUGUUUUUUGUCGUGUUGUUGGCUUUUGAAAGUGAACAAAAGUCAACUCGAAUAUUUUUGUUCACUCAGGUGAAUGUGUUUGGUAGAACAAGAAUGUAUCAUAUCAUCAAGAUGAUGCGGUAGUAAAGUAACUCUUUCGGUGAGGUGAGAAAUCAGAGUGCUGUAC